AAUGGGUCAGCGACUUAUAUUCUGUAGCAAGGUUAACCGAAUAGGGGAGCCGAAGGGAAACCGAGUCUUAACUGGGCGUUAAGUUGCAGGGUAUAGACCCGAAACCCGGUGAUCUAGCCAUGGGCAGGUUGAAGGUUGGGUAACACUAACUGGAGGACCGAACCGACUAAUGUUGAAAAAUUAGCGGAUGACUUGUGGCUGGGGGUGAAAGGCCAAUCAAACCGGGAGAUAGCUGGUUCUCCCCGAAAGCUAUUUAGGUAGCGCCUCGUGAAUUCAUCUCCGGGGGUAGAGCACUGUUUCGGCAAGGGGGUCAUCCCGACUUACCAACCCGAUGCAAACUGCGAAUACCGGAGAAUGUUAUCACGGGAGACACACGGCGGGUGCUAACGUCCGUCGUGAAGAGGGAAACAACCCAGACCGCCAGCUAAGGUCCCAAAGUCAUGGUUAAGUGGGAAACGAUGUGGGAAGGCCCAGACAGCCAGGAUGUUGGCUUAGAAGCAGCCAUCAUUUAAAGAAAGCGUAAUAGCUCACUGGUCGAGUCGGCCUGCGCGGAAGAUGUAACGGGGCUAAACCAUGCACCGAAGCUGCGGCAGCGACACUAUGUGUUGUUGGGUAGGGGAGCGUUCUGUAAGCCUGUGAAGGUGUGCUGUGAGGCAUGCUGGAGGUAUCAGAAGUGCGAAUGCUGACAUAAGUAACGAUAAAGCGGGUGAAAAGCCCGCUCGCCGGAAGACCAAGGGUUCCUGUCCAACGUUAAUCGGGGCAGGGUGAGUCGACCCCUAAGGCGAGGCCGAAAGGCGUAGUCGAUGGGAAACAGGUUAAUAUUCCUGUACUUGGUGUUACUGCGAAGGGGGGACGGAGAAGGCUAUGUUGGCCGGGCGACGGUUGUCCCGGUUUAAGCGUGUAGGCUGAUUUUCCAGGCAAAUCCGGAAAAUCAAGGCUGAGGCGUGAUGACGAGGCACUACGGUGCUGAAGCAACAAAUGCCCUGCUUCCAGGAAAAGCCUCUAAGCAUCAGGUAACAUCAAAUCGUACCCCAAACCGACACAGGUGGUCAGGUAGAGAAUACCAAGGCGCUUGAGAGAACUCGGGUGAAGGAACUAGGCAAAAUGGUGCCGUAACUUCGGGAGAAGGCACGCUGAUAUGUAGGUGAAGCGACUUGCUCGUGGAGCUGAAAUCAGUCGAAGAUACCAGCUGGCUGCAACUGUUUAUUAAAAACACAGCACUGUGCAAACACGAAAGUGGACGUAUACGGUGUGACGCCUGCCCGGUGCCGGAAGGUUAAUUGAUGGGGUUAGCGGUAACGCGAAGCUCUUGAUCGAAGCCCCGGUAAACGGCGGCCGUAACUAUAACGGUCCUAAGGUAGCGAAAUUCCUUGUCGGGUAAGUUCCGACCUGCACGAAUGGCGUAAUGAUGGCCAGGCUGUCUCCACCCGAGACUCAGUGAAAUUGAACUCGCUGUGAAGAUGCAGUGUACCCGCGGCAAGACGGAAAGACCCCGUGAACCUUUACUAUAGCUUGACACUGAACAUUGAGCCUUGAUGUGUAGGAUAGGUGGGAGGCUUUGAAGUGUGGACGCCAGUCUGCAUGGAGCCGACCUUGAAAUACCACCCUUUAAUGUUUGAUGUUCUAACGUUGGCCCGUUAUCCGGGUUGCGGACAGUGUCUGGUGGGUAGUUUGACUGGGGCGGUCUCCUCCUAAAGAGUAACGGAGGAGCACGAAGGUUGGCUAAUCCUGGUCGGACAUCAGGAGGUUAGUGCAAUGGCAUAAGCCAGCUUGACUGCGAGCGUGACGGCGCGAGCAGGUGCGAAAGCAGGUCAUAGUGAUCCGGUGGUUCUGAAUGGAAGGGCCAUCGCUCAACGGAUAAAAGGUACUCCGGGGAUAACAGGCUGAUACCGCCCAAGAGUUCAUAUCGACGGCGGUGUUUGGCACCUCGAUGUCGGCUCAUCACAUCCUGGGGCUGAAGUAGGUCCCAAGGGUAUGGCUGUUCGCCAUUUAAAGUGGUACGCGAGCUGGGUUUAGAACGUCGUGAGACAGUUCGGUCCCUAUCUGCCGUGGGCGCUGGAGAACUGAGGGGGGCUGCUCCUAGUACGAGAGGACCGGAGUGGACGCAUCACUGGUGUUCGGGUUGUCAUGCCAAUGGCACUGCCCGGUAGCUAAAUGCGGAAGAGAUAAGUGCUGAAAGCAUCUAAGCACGAAACUUGCCCCG
Molecule: ribosomal RNA, 2203 nt
Filed under: Escherichia coli
Lineage: Bacteria; Pseudomonadati; Pseudomonadota; Gammaproteobacteria; Enterobacterales; Enterobacteriaceae
Description: partial 23S ribosomal RNA
Rfam family: Bacterial large subunit ribosomal RNA
Source: RNAcentral